GGGUCGGUAGUUAAUAUAAUAUAAUAAAAGUCUUGUAAACUUUAGUAGAAGAUAGUCUCGGCCCUGACCCU
RNAcentral lists this transfer RNA (71 nucleotides) under Ruditapes variegatus. Its description in RNAcentral is "tRNA-Thr". Lineage: Eukaryota; Metazoa; Mollusca; Bivalvia; Venerida; Veneridae. The record is from RNAcentral. RNAcentral also lists the same sequence under 1 other name.